Acanthopagrus latus (yellowfin seabream) is the source of this 1555-nucleotide long non-coding RNA. RefSeq lists it as uncharacterized. The record is from RefSeq and is a predicted model, not a curated record. NCBI's taxonomy places the organism in Eukaryota, Metazoa, Chordata, Actinopteri, Spariformes, Sparidae. The transcript has 4 exons.
AAGGCUGGUUUUCCAACAUGUCCUCCAGCGUCCAGUGGCUGCGCACGCGCAACAAUCCGCCAAUUAACGCCGAAUAUUGCCGGUAGAUCAAAGGAACUUGUAGUCCGGAAAAACUUAUCAUUUUUGGAGGCAACGAGGUUUUUGGAGACGCGCACCUUGGCGCUUAAAUUUUAGGAUAAACGAAUGACUUCUUUUGCGAGCAGUGAACUUUUAUUGUCAUUCACCGUCGACAGCUUGUGGAAAAACUGCGGAUACUGAGAAAGAAACAGCGGGAGACCUGGAGCAGGAGUCCAAAUGUCGUCGAGGGACUUGUUGUUUUGAAGCCACGGUGAGGAGACGAGGCGAGGACCCAGAAGGAGAGCAACAACACGCUACUGGAGUUUUGAGGUCGAUCCUGGGAGGAGUCACGACAGCAGGAGGAAAUCUCACAGUGUGCAGUCCUCAUGCAUCCCGCUGUGACCCGUAGAACUCCCAGAGGUGCUACAGUGCCUCCAGUCGCACCCAGAGAGCGAGGGGAGACACUUUUCUCAGCUGGGUGAGGCGGUUGGAGGAUGGUGUCGUAGCGACAGCAGCAGCCCACAGCAGUGACUACACCGGUGAGCUGGACAUGUGGCAGGUGCGUCACACAGCUGAGAUUUAACCGCUGCAGUGGUCGGAAAGCUGGCUGCUGUGGUGAAUCCUUGUGGACAUGAAAAGUUUCCCACCUGAGGACAGGGCUGACAGAGUCAGCAGUCAACAUCAUUAUGAACAGUGUUUGCCUUUCGACUUCAACAACUUUAUGAAAUAACCAGAAUUGCCUUUCAGGGUGGAAAUUGUUUCCUUGUGAUUUAUUUCUCUGCAGAAAGUUGGCCAUGAUUAAUUCGGUUAAGACUGGAACUCCUCUGUUGGCGCCUUGUCCUGCAGUACGAUUUGGGAAAUUGUUGCUGUCAGAUUAUAGAAUAAAAAUAGUUUCUUCGUCAAUUGUAGUCACUGCUAAAAUUAAAUAAUAUGACCCCACUCUGGCUGACUUAGUUUGUGUCGUGUCAUCAAGAUAAAGCACGCUACAAUUCUCAUUCUCAACUGGAGAUAUGAAAGAAUAUCUGGUCAAGUUUUCCCGAGCAGGGACCUGAUUUUGAUUUAGUCUUGUCUUGUGUUUUGUAUGAAAAGUCAGUCUUUUAGUCAUUUGAUAUUCUGUUAGUUUUAGUCUUUAUUCUUAGUUUUGUCGAUAUAGACUCGAGUCUGGUUUUUGCAAUGAAAAACAAUACUUUUUAAUAAUUUUUCGCAGUCUGCCUUUAUUUGACAACCUGUAGAGAGAGAGAGAGAUUGGGGGGUAUGACAUGCAUCGAAGGUUUCCUGGCUGGGAAUCAGUCCGUCGACGUUGUGGUUAUGUGGUAUGUGCUUUCACAGUCGUGCUUUUUGAGGCAACAGCUGUUGCCUCCUUUGUUGUGUUACAGUUCUGUCACGAGGUGAGUGGAAAGGGCGCUGUUUACCUGUCCACACACACAAUGUCCACGUCACGGCUCUGCAGUAAUAAAACAGCCUCUGACUCCUCUCAGUAAAUUCAGUUGUCAUUCCC